GAUGAACGCUAGCUACAGGCCUAACACAUGCAAGUCGAGGGGCAGCGGGAAGGAAGCUUGCUUUCUUUGCCGGCGACCGGCGCACGGGUGCGUAACGCGUAUCGAAACCUACCCUUUUACUCGGGGAACAGCCUUGCGAAAGCAAGAUUAAUGCCCGAUGUUCCGCGUUUUGCCGCAUGGCAAAUUCGGCAAAGAUUUAUUGGUAAAGGAUGGCGAUGCGUCCCAUUAGUUAGUUGGCGGGGUAACGGCCCACCAAGACGACGAUGGGUAGGGGUUCUGAGAGGAAGGUCCCCCACAUUGGAACUGAGACACGGUCCAAACUCCUACGGGAGGCAGCAGUGAGGAAUAUUGGUCAAUGGACGGGAGUCUGAACCAGCCAAGUAGCGUGCAGGACGACGGCCCUAUGGGUUGUAAACUGCUUUUAUAGGGGGAUAAAGUGUGCCACGUGUGGCAUAUUGCAGGUACCCUAUGAAUAAGGACCGGCUAAUUCCGUG
Molecule: ribosomal RNA, 494 nt
Filed under: uncultured bacterium
Lineage: Bacteria
Description: bacterial SSU rRNA
Rfam family: Bacterial small subunit ribosomal RNA
Source: RNAcentral